Molecule: long non-coding RNA, 961 nt
Filed under: Oryctolagus cuniculus (rabbit)
Lineage: Eukaryota; Metazoa; Chordata; Mammalia; Lagomorpha; Leporidae
Description: lncRNA (ENSOCUG00000031725.1)
Source: RNAcentral
UGCACCAAGAUAAUCUUUUAAUUCAACUUCCAACAAACUUUUUGAGGGACUCCUCUAGUUGUCCAGCCUCCUAUGGUGCCUGUUGUUAGUAAAACUGCAGGCCUCCCUGGCGUGAUGGCCAAGUUCCUCUUGCAGACAAGGCUUUCUUUAAAUGUGGUCUGUUAAUGUUACCUGGGGAUAAGGGGCUGACCAGGAAAUUCUCACAGUGUGACAAUGGUUAAUGUCAUUGUUCUCCUAUCACACCAUAUUUGAUUUCGUUAUUUGAGAUCUCGGGUCAGAGUCUACAAUUUACUAUUCUUGGAGUUUUGGACUCUUGGACCAACCUGGAGAUUUCUGGAGUGUGGUAUUGAUUCCACACCUUGUCUUGGAUAAUUAUUACCUAAUAAGCAAUUCAGUGAACUCCUUUUUUUAAAAAAAUUUUUGACUAAUAUUUACAUGGUACUGAAUUUCUGCACACAAAUUCACUGAAGCCUUUUGAUAGCAAGCUUCAGGUCUCAUGCCUUUUGUUGUUCUUUGUUAAAACAAUUCCCCUAUUGUGAAUGUCCUGUGUGAGAGCUACUGCCAAUAAGCAAUGCCUGUGGUCACCAUUCAAACCUACCCAUAGAAGACAUUCUUUGUGCCACCUUCUUGUUCCUGAAGAUCAACAACUUUACAGUCAAUGCCGUGCUUACCUCACAUUUUUUGCUGGUGCCUGACCCUGUUCCAAAGGCUUCGUCUCAGAGAUCCAGACCUGAUUCCAGUUGCCCACGGAAUGCCUUGCAUGAAUGCUCCUGGACACCUCAACUUGCACACACAAGGGUAAUUCAUUGGAUCCACGGGCAAACAUAGACCCAGUCUUCAAAAGAAACUGGAACCAGAGGCUGAGACCUUGGGAAUCCAGUAAGCACCUUCCCUCCAAUUUUUAUAUCAUUUUAUUUCUCAUAGGAUGUGUGUUUUUUCAUGUACCAUAGACCAGUUUUCC